UAAUGACCAUUAUUACCUCGACAUGAUUGAAAACCUACAGAUUGGACACAUCAUCACCCGGUCUGAUGCAGAACGUAUUUUUCUUAGGUCUAUGGAUUUUAUCACCACAUAGACAAGCGUUUAGUAAAUCAUCGGAAUACCGGUAUGAACAACUAUCUGUUAAUAAUUUACAACAAAUAUUAUUAUUUCACUCACCAAGAGUAUUUUUUGAUGUUCCGGGU
This is a non-coding RNA of Paramuricea clavata, 221 nucleotides long. NCBI's taxonomy places the organism in Eukaryota, Metazoa, Cnidaria, Anthozoa, Malacalcyonacea, Plexauridae. The record is from the annotation of a GenBank genome assembly.